Molecule: long non-coding RNA, 4147 nt
Filed under: Triticum aestivum (bread wheat)
Lineage: Eukaryota; Viridiplantae; Streptophyta; Magnoliopsida; Poales; Poaceae
Description: long non-coding RNA (TAES_LNC012225)
Source: RNAcentral
ACGCCCGCCCGACAUUGUCACCAAGGUAAUAAGUAUUCCAUUCUAAUCCAUCCACGACUGACUGUUAUUUCGAUUCUCCUGAAGAAGCAUAUUCGCUUGAUUAGCAUUGUCUUCUACAGCAGUAUUAUGCUCAUGCAAAUCACCAUAGAUAGCAGCAGCUAAUUCGACUCGAUCGAAAAAUACUUACAAAAGGCAAGCUAACAUAUCAUGUACAAAAAUAAGAUUAAUUGAGAAUUUUAGUUGUUUGUAAGACCUUCUAUAAGAUAUUGAUAGUUUGUUAGAACAUUCAGGGGCCGGACCACCCUGCUAUCAAAUGCUAGCUCCGCCACUACCAAGGAGGUAUAUAACUAUCCUAGUUCUGAAAUUUAAAAAUGAAGUACAAAGUCCGAAGACAGUAUAUGUAAGAGAACUUGCAAUAACUGCAAAGUUCCAAGGUCUAAUACAAGAACAUGGAAAUUUGCAUCUGUACAAAAGAUCCCCUAUGUUUGUCAUCGGAAACACUAUGUACCAAAAAGGAUGGCCGUGCCAAAAUCAUUUUAUAUUUAUAUUGAAUGAGAGAAAAUGAUGCAUUGCAAUGAUUCCAAUUAUUUUAUAUUUAUAUCAUUGUAAAACCUCCUCGUCAAGAAGACUACAUACACUUUAUGUCUGCUAUACAAUGUGCAUCAGGACCUUCUAGGUAAAAAUAAUCAGGUGGUGCAACUAUCAAUUAGCUAUGCGAGGUUCUAGCUUAUAAAAAAUCAACUUUGACUGGAUGUCUUAUGGCAGGUAAGAGUAUUCCAGAAACAUGUAUGUCAAAAUGAAACAAAUAAAGAACCAUUAUUGUGCUUGCACAAAAAAAAUAUAACACAGGUAUGAAUGCGAUCAACAUUAAGGCGGAGGAAGGGGCUUUACUUUCAUACCUCGGAGUAGUCUUUGGGAGGCGGAUGACCCGGAGAUAGGAAGCAUAGACUGCAAGAAGCACAAUCAGAUCUAUGCUUUGAGUUACCCAUACUGCUGGGUAGAGAAGGAGGAACCGGAGCGAACAUCACCUCGAAAAAAUGACAAGAAUAAUUUAUUGAGAACUCCAUGUAGUUAGGAGUAAGACUUUUCUGCCUCUAAAUCCCAGUAACAUGCCGACAAACCAUUCACAAAUUUUAAGUAGCACCAUGUAGGUUAUCUAGAAAGAAAAUACAAACAAACAUAAGAAAAUUCUCAACCUCCCCCAUCCAUCAGUAAAGUGAGACCAACAACCACUUAGGUUAGGAGUAGCAUGCUCGAGCCAUGUAGCAAGUGAACCAGUAACACUGGGACUAAUUCAUCUAUAAAAAUAUGCAAACAGGUCGAGAAUACAAAACCAGUUAAAUAAAGGUCAAGAUUACUGCUAGUGUUGUGAACAAGUUCAGUCAUUUUCCCAUUCUCAACCUCAGGGCUCACGCGGUAUGAAUUUCCAUUGGAUAAAAAAGCUAAUACUAUGUUUUUUAGGUUUCCAUCUCUAUCUUUCCAAUACAAAGGCGAAAAAGAGAAAUCCUCAUGGUAGAUAGCUUCUUCGGAAGAUGCUCUUUCUAGAGAGAUGAUUAGAUCAUAAGUAAAUAAGUAAACUUGAUAAAAGCACAACUCCUAGCAUACAAUUCAACUUUAUCCGUAGUAUCUGACUACAUGUGCAUUGAGUUCUACAUGAGAGGCCAUCAUCUGAAUUCUCAACCUCAUGGUCUGGUCUAGUGAUUUCCAAUGUUUGGAAAGCUGUAAGAGGGAGAAUAUCUCUUACAUGUGUAUGUCAGAUUCAUGAAUGCAACGCGGAUGCUUCCGACAUCCUGGACAUCUGGAUGUCCAGUAUUACAGUGGAAUGAGUUGAUUUUGCACCUGUAAAACUGAAAACUGAUUUCUAACUUCCUCUCCUUCUUCUUCAGCAGGGUGAUCUGCAUUGGUUUUAGAAAGCAAUCUAUAUAGCCCCAGUCUUCCAGUCUAUGGCUAAGCUUUAUCUUCUGCUGGUAUGCGGCGACAUCAAGCAGAGUCAUCCUUGAUAAAUGGAUCUGUUUAAGAAUGUUUGUUGUCAGGUAUGGAUUUUAAUCAUAUAGUAAAAAGGCAAUAGGAGAGACACAUGAAACAUAAUCCAUAUAUUUAGCAUCAUGAUUUCCAAAAAAUCAAUUAAAAAGAACCUAUCACCUGAAACUCAAAAGCGAUAACCUCGAGCGAUGAUCCAAGUGUUGAGGCGUCACAAAAAACAGGGCCAUUUUUUAGCCUAAUUGGAGGUUGUAAAGGCCUAGUCAAAGUUUUGUUUUUGCCUGCAGGGCAACUAUUCGCGUGGGGGCCUGGGGCGAAUCGUUCGGUCCAGCUCCUCCCCCAGAUCGACCAAAAAAGUUUGGUGGGGUGAUCGCUCCCUGGCGAAUGUUUCGUUUGUUCCGAGGAGAAAAAAAUAAGCUAAAAUAUAGACAUAUAUGAUUAAUUGGAGCGAAGAAUGCAGUUGCCUAGCCUGCUGCAAUGAGCUAAAAUACAUCAAACAACCGCUAACAUCACUAAAAGAAGGAGCUUACUUUUCCCUUGGGACUGCUUGUUGCAGUCGUCGAUGAGCUCUCUAGCAGGAGUCAUCAGCAUCCUCUUCCUAUACAAGCCAGUGUCGCCAAGGCCACGUCGAGUCAUUUGAAACAGAGACCCCAAAAGCUAAAUAGUGUUGGUUCUCCUCGCUCGGCUCAAUCAAAAACAUAAAGCAAAUAAUCAAGAGCAGCACGAUCUUGUUAAAAAAGAAAUAGAUACAAGUUAUUCGAUCAAAUAAACAAAUGGCGAAGUGGCUACACUCGUGAGCUAAACUUUCCAUAAUCCAAGCAAAUCCAGAAACCUAAGUAAAUGACUGGAGGCCAAAUUCACAUAUGACCCAGCAAAGAUUUACCCUAGAGUUUUACGACCAUUUAGAAUUCGUCUAUCCGUUUUCAUUUGGAGAAUAUAAUAGAGCAAAUGAAAGUGCAUGCUUAAUUUAGCAGAAGGUAUAACCACAGAUUUAACAGGGGACAAGUCUAACCUGGGUUUCAGAGUGAAGAAACAUUCGAAGAUCAAACACAUCAUUGUGUCACUGUGCAUGGUUAAUUUAGCAGUAGGUACAGCAACACUUAAUAAGGGACAUUGUGUCACCACCUAAUCAAUUUUGUAUGCCAGUAGUAUAUACGGUCAAUACGGUCAGGUUAGUGUAACCUAAAAUAUAUCUUGGCAGGAAUGACCGGAUUCACUUGCUUUUAGAAAGGGAAGCAUCAGUAUGAGAUAAGUGCAGAUAAUCUGCAUCUACUUUUAUCAAGCGACUCGAAUCACCUUAGAAUCAAGUAGUUAGCAUCCAUCUUCAAUCAGAAAAACAAACAAAAUUGUCAAACAACUAAACAUGCUUGUGUUGUGCCUACCUCUGAACGUUGCUCCAAAUCCAGUGGAUUUGCCGAAAUCAGAUUUCCAAAGACAACAGUAAAUACACGUAAAAGCAGACGCAAGCCUCAAGCGUAUCCUAAAAAAUACAUCAAGCUAACUAAUGAGGCCUAGGAUCAUUCUCCAGCAACAGAUUAGAAGAGGUGCAAGGCCACAAUAGAUUGCAAACUCUACCACUGCUCCUUGAAUUAAAAUGUGGAAGACAAGAAAAAAUUAAGUGUCCAAAAUAACAUUAUGCCAAAUGAUAAGCAUGUAUGGCAAAAAAAUGAUAAGCAUGUAUCAGGGAAAUAAAAAUUCAGUAGAAGAUUUCUCUAAAGGAAAUAUGACGCCAUUAAAAUUCUGCAACGACUUUUCCAGAAGAACAAAUUGUGCAACAAUUGGAAUAAACUCAAACAUGCGCCGCAAGCUUUGUUCGUCGGAUGAUAGACGAGAUUCAUAGAAUAGUUAAGAUAAUUAGUGCAUCACUGAUUUAGGAAGAGAAGAAAUAGGUCUAGCCUUACAGAAACACCAUUUGUCCCAGUAACCUUAAUAUCAUAGCACAUACACUUGGUUGAAAUAAAAUUAUAGCCUGUAAACCAGCUACGCCACCAAAAUCUUGAUAAACUUAGAAAGUAGAUCAUGUUGAACAACGGAAGCAAGGAAUCAAAGAGGAAAAUGGGGGAAGAACUCACCGGAGCAGUAAGUGUAGAGCAAUCAGGGAUACAGAAUUUUGGCCAAUACCAAACUGAAGAAAAUAUCAAGGUUGACGGCCUCUUCCAGCUGGGCG